This is a non-coding RNA of Equus caballus (horse), 3486 nucleotides long. The record is from RefSeq and is a predicted model, not a curated record. Lineage: Eukaryota; Metazoa; Chordata; Mammalia; Perissodactyla; Equidae.
GGACUUUCUGGAAUAAAGCCACUUGUAAAUAUUGGCCUGGCACCUUGUUUACAGAGAUUCCAGCAAUCUUACCUGGUAAGUAAGGAAGCUCACUUAUCUGGCAGGUGCAAGGAACCUCGAAACAUUUUAGGGGACCUCGAAAAGAGAAACUCACACAAAUCUGUAGGUACUUCAGGCAAAAUCUGAUGGCAAGUCCUUGGCUGGGCUUUUCUGGCCUUGAGAGGCCUUUAAAGUUCAAUCUGAGGUUACAUAAAAAGUUCCAGCAAAGCAGAUUUUAAAAAGCUUGUAUGAUCAAUUGCUAUUCUUGUUGCACUUACGUAAAUAAUUGGACUAAGUUUUAUUGAAGCUACACUUCUUUUGCAAACCAGUUAAUCUUAAUUUAACUAUCUUUUGUAAAAAUGAGGGUGAUUUUAGAGAGAAAGAUUAUGUUUCAGUAGAAGCUAUAGUACACAUUCAUGGGUAUUAGAUUCUAGCUCUUCUCUUCUACAAGAUUCAUCUUUUACUAAUCAUAACGUCUCCCUGUGGCUGUCAGUCUCUGGUACCUGGAAGGUCCCUGGCCACAAUCACACCUUUUCCUUCAACUCUACUGCCCAAAUACUAACUAAAUUCUCAUUGUCACAGGUGGAUCACAAACAGUGAGUUCCAAAGGUAAAGUCCCCAACCUACCAAUACACGCAGGAUAGAUUAUAUCAAAUUUGGGAUGAAUAUAUUUGGCUCACUCCUACUAGUGGUCAACUGAGUCAAAAGGCCACUCUGUUUUGGGAACAAACCAAUCACACUUGUGAUACGUGGCCUAAUAGCACCCAACGUAUGGGACAAAUUCCCAGCUAUAUAUCUUCUUAUAUCAUAGCCUUAAAAAAAAAUACUAUGGUUUGGGACUCACUGGGAUAGAUGGUCCAGCGUACAUUGGUUAGCCCCUAAUGGCACUCAGUGGCUUCGUGGCUCCAACGUAUGGCCUUGGCUGCCACCUGGAUGGAUUGGACGAUGCACCCUAGGCUUCGUCUGGAUGCAAGGUAGAACUACACUCAUUAUAUCUCUUCCUGCUAACUGAGCCAACCUACGACAAUGCUAGACCCGUUCCAUCUUCCACUGGUAUGAUCAUCUUGCCUCAAUUUUGCUUCCCCAAUUAGGAAUCAAAAGUAUCAUCUGGCACAUGGAAGCCCUAAACAAAUUUGCCAUGAAGGUGUUAAAUUUACACAGGAUAGCCUUUCACUGCUUGAUUUAGAAGUAUCCCAAAUGUGCAAGGUGGUCCUCCAAACCUGAAUGGCACUGGAUGUCUUGACAGCAGCACAGGGGGGUACUUGUGCCAUUAUAAAAACCAAAUGUUGUGUCUGUAUUCCUGACUACUUCGCAUUUUAACUUGACCUAUAGAACUUGGCUAAGAGUUAAGUGGGAAAAGGAGGUUUUAAUUUAUUACACAUUGCUCUUAUAUUUAUCUUAAAGGGAUUCUGGGCCUUGACCUGAUUUCUGGGUCAAGCGGGAAGCCAGUUUCGAAGCGGGCAGCCCAGAUGUCCACCAUCUGUCUCCUUGUGGCUUGGCCCCGAUAUAACAGUGGAGCAGAGGGGAGGGCGUGGGGGUUAUUUCUAUUGCUUACAAAACCUUUAAGACACCUUGAAAACCUUUUCAGAUAUUUUUUCCCCUUCUUUCAGCAUAAAUUAUGAACCUUCUUCCUCUGCUGCUGGAGAUACAGAGAUAAAUGGCACUGUUUCUUCCUCCAAGAUCGAACAAUCUAACGGGAAGAUGUUCACCAGAACAGCUAACUGUAAGGGGAUGAGGACCAUUCUGCAGUUUGGAGACUGAGUGCUAGGGGGCAGCAAGGACAGGGACAGUGUCUUCAUCUGUAUGGUGGAAACAUCCAGAAGCCCACCCUGGGUCAUAGACAGUUGCUGUUUCCCACUGCCCCACCCUCUGGGCUCAUUGAACCCUGAAAAUAAGCCUCACGAAAUCUUCACAUGGCAGUGAAGGAGGUAGGAUCACUCCAUUUAAUAUAUGAAGAAUCUGAAACUUAGGAGCUUAAGUAAUUUGUCUGCUGUGAAAUCACCAGGAAAUGAGAAGUAAGCUUCAAACCGAGAUACAACAGACUGUGACCCGGUGCUCUCCUCUCCAAGCCGGGUGGCUAGAAAAGCUGAAGAAUGAAACACAGUGUCCAUGUACACAUAUGUACACAUACUACACCUAUGAAGAUAUAUAUAAAUGCUUUGACACUUCAUUUCAAAUGUCUGAAAUGACACCUGUUUGACACCUAUCUCCCUGGACAUACUUUCCCUCAUCAAUAUACCCAUUAGGCCCACAGCUGACGGCUGGAGCUCAGAGCACAAAACACCCCAUGUCCCUUCAGAGCUUCUUAUAAAGUCACACAUUCCAUCCCAUUUGAAAGAGAGACUCUGAGCUCCACCACGGGGCCUUGAGGCCCCCUUGCUCUUGCAGAGGCCCCUGUGACCAUCCCAGCUCAGCCUUCCCCAGGACCCCACUGGCUUCAGAGGGAAGGUGAGUAGGGCUCUGCUGCUAAGUCCCCAGCCCUGCCUGGCCUCAAAUGAUGGACACGGGCAGGAUGGGCACAGGUCGGGCAGGAGGGAGGCUGAACAGCCAGAGCUCUACAGUCCAGUGCAAUGGUGGGGGUGGGCAGCCACGGCCACACUCACCUUGAAGGAUACAGGCACCCAGGGAGGCAGCACCUGAAAAGGAGCAGAGCAGUUGGCUGUGGACAAUGUCUGUUUUAAUUUGCAGGAAGAGGUGGUACCUGCAAUACAAAAGGGGAAAGAGUUGCCCUCGGUUUUGGCUGAGGACUGGAAGAAGAGGAAGGUUUGUUCGUGCCUAUCCACCUGGGUCUCCAGAGCCCUACCCAGCUCCGAGGAGUGGCCGAGACAUGCCAAGCCUCUCGGAGGGCAAGCAGAGGAACCUGAGAGGGGCCCUCGGAAUACAGAAAAUCUGAAGUGUCUGUGGCAGCUUCCAAAGCUAGUGGCUAGCCCUUUCCAAAGAGACACGAGAAGGACCAAGGAAAGCCACAGGGCCCAGCAGCCACUGUCCCUGGCAGGAACUCCCACAUGAUGACAACCACAGCCACUGUCACCACCACCCGCACCUCAGGUUCUUGGGUUGGGGAGCGGACACGACUCAACUGGUCCCAGUUACCACCCCCAGUGCUGACAUAAUCUGAUCUUCACUCAGCCUGUGAGGAGCCACGUGCACAACCCCAUCCAGAGAGUGUGUUUAACGUGCUAAGAUCACAUAGGCGCUGCCAUCCCGGGACGCUGGAGCUCGUCCCUCUUUGGGUGCUGGUUCACUUAAAGCACACUGGACAUCCUGCAGGGUUCAGGCGCUCACUGGAGUUUCCAUUUGAUAAAUCUUUAUCUCACCUGCUUUACACGUGCACUGUGCUGGGCACUGGGGACACGGUGGAGGCUCAGAUGUCACUCUCUGUCCCCAACUUUGUAUGGAAUUGUGUGCAGGGGAUAAAGGCUGUCCCUAAUAAAUUUCAUAUCUGGA